Molecule: long non-coding RNA, 533 nt
Organism: Vigna radiata var. radiata (mung bean)
Lineage: Eukaryota; Viridiplantae; Streptophyta; Magnoliopsida; Fabales; Fabaceae
Exons: 3
Source: RefSeq, a predicted model, not a curated record
UGAGACAGUCAGCCCAUAAGCUAAGGACCCAUGACCUUAGGAAGGGGUAUUCUAAAAAAAAAAAUCAGAUUUUUCCCAUUCUGCAUUUUCCUUUCUCUCUCUAGACAGAGCUCUUUUCUUCCUAAGAAGGUGCUUUGCCUUCUCUCUAAAAGAUCCAGACACUGAACCGUUUAAAAUUUAAUUUGAAGGUGCCUAAACGAUCGCGGCCGCAAGGGCUUUAACUUGAACCAAACAAUUUCUUAUUCCAACUAGUUCUGUAAGUUCAACGCUGAGUGGGUUCCUGUUAGGGCGUUUUCAAUUUGCUACUUUUAAAGAAAACCAGAGGAGAAUGAGGUCACUCUGGAGCGUGCCUUGGAAGGAAAUGAAGAAGAUACCGCUGCUUAGACUCUCUAGGACCUUCUUAGUUCUUUUAUGUUGUUCUUUUGAAACACUUUCAGUUUAAUCUAUGCUCUGAUACAAUCCAGCACCUUAAGUUUUAAUUGUUUUUGCCAAAUUCUGGAUAACUGUAAUCCUUGUUUAAGGACCUUAAACAC